AUCACGACUCUCGGCAACGGAUAUCUCGGCUCUCGCAUCGAUGAAGAACGUAGCGAAAUGCGAUACCUGGUGUGAAUUGCAGAAUCCCGCGAACCAUCGAGUCUUUGAACGCAAGUUGCGCCCGAGGCCAUCCGGUCGAGGGCACGCCUGCCUGGGCGUCACGC
RNAcentral lists this ribosomal RNA (164 nucleotides) under Raddiella esenbeckii. RNAcentral describes it as "5.8S ribosomal RNA". It matches the Rfam family "5.8S ribosomal RNA". Rfam says of the family: 5.8S ribosomal RNA (5.8S rRNA) is a component of the large subunit of the eukaryotic ribosome. It is transcribed by RNA polymerase I as part of the 45S precursor that also contains 18S and 28S rRNA. The record is from RNAcentral. Lineage: Eukaryota; Viridiplantae; Streptophyta; Magnoliopsida; Poales; Poaceae.